This 495-nucleotide ribosomal RNA is filed under the name uncultured bacterium. RNAcentral's name for it is "partial 16S ribosomal RNA". It matches the Rfam family "Bacterial small subunit ribosomal RNA", at positions 28 to 507 of the family's 1533-position model. The record is from RNAcentral.
GACGAACGCUGGCGGCGUGCCUAAUACAUGCAAGUAGAACGCUGAAGGAUGAGCUUGCUUCUCUGGAUGAGUCGCGAACGGUUGAUUAACGCGUAGGUAACCUGGCUUGUAUCGGGGGCUAACUAUUGGAAACGAUAGCUAAUACCCCAUAAAAGUUAAUGUUGCAUGCCAUUUGCUUAAAAGGUGCAAUUGCAUCACUACUAGAUGUACCUGCGUUGUUUUAGGUUGUUGGUGGGGUAACGGCUCACCAAGGAGACGAUAACUAACCGCCCUGAGAGGGUGACGGGCCACACUGGGACUGAGAGAGUGCCCAGACUCAUACGGAAGGCGGCAGUAGGGAGACUUCGGCGAUAGACGGCAGUGUGAACGAGCAAAGCCGGGUGAGUGAAGAAGGGUUGCGGAUCGUAGAGAUCUGGUGUAAGAGAAGAACGAGUGUGAGAGUGGAAAAUGCACAAUGUGACGGUAUCUUACCAGAAAGGGACGGCUAACUACGUG